AGUCAACCAUCCAGCUGUUUGA
This 22-nucleotide microRNA is filed under the name Canis lupus familiaris (dog). RNAcentral's name for it is "cfa-miR-2483". The record is from miRBase by way of RNAcentral. Lineage: Eukaryota; Metazoa; Chordata; Mammalia; Carnivora; Canidae.